This 1275-nucleotide long non-coding RNA is filed under the name Ursus maritimus (polar bear). RNAcentral describes it as "lncRNA (ENSUMAG00000009127.1)". Lineage: Eukaryota; Metazoa; Chordata; Mammalia; Carnivora; Ursidae. The record is from RNAcentral.
CGGUUUGGGGGCUCUGAGGGACUUGGGCGCUGCCCCUGAGCCAUCCCUGCGCUCUGGUCCUUGCUCGACUGUCUGCUGCACUUCCUGCGCACGAUGUCUUGGUCAGUGCGCGUGCCCGCCCACGGUGCAGCCUGCUGUUCUCACCAGACGUUCCCCCCACCCUCCCGCUCCUGCUUGGGGGAGAGUGGAUGAGAUCACUGCCCCGGGGCCAGGCGGACACCAGGCCUGUCAGCACCACUCGCUCGCAGGUAUUUAUUGGGACGUGGGGGAUCCAGCCCUGAACAAAACAGACAAGGAUCGGUGCCCCACGGACCUUAAAGGAAGCAAGGAAGGAGACAGUUGAGCACUGUCGGGGUGUCAAAGCAGCUCAGUCCUUUGCUAGGACACAAGGUUCCCAGGACCAAGGAUUCGAUCGCCUAGUUCACGCCUUCCUGCAGCCCGCAGCCCCGGGACAGCCGAGCGAGGCACGCGCAGUUUAUGGGUCUGAACUGGGCUGGCGCGGGAUACCAGCCCCGGGCACGACCCCACUCCUCCACAGGGCUGCCUCCAACGGCAGACUACCAGAAGCCGAGUACCAUUGGAAGCAGAGAAGUCCUGUUACCUCCAGCUCUGGCCACAGGCACCUUCUCGUGUGAGCGGCCUGGCGGCUCCCCUUGCACCAAGCCGCUGGGCAGAACACGCCGGCAUUUGUCUGACAGCUCGCGGGAGACGCCCGGACGCGGGCUUCACACGCAGGUGGGCUGUGCAUCGCAACACGUGGUGCUGAUUAUCCUGAGACUGACGUUGGGCCAAGUCCCCAGUAGGUUGUAUUAAUAUCAAUAUUAGCAAUAUUUCUGUAUUGUAUGUAUCAUAAAAUGUGUUUUUCAAUUGUAAUAGUGUAUUAGGGUGAUUACUGUUAUAUUAAUAACCAACAGUACAGCGUUAGCAUAUUAAACAUGCUUCGGCUUCGUGUUUUCCUUAUGGCCAAUCUCUUUAUUUGGAACCAGUGUACCUCUUAGCAACAGCUAACUCUUUUUUUUUUUUUUUUUUGGUUUUCUUGAUUUUCAUGUUUUUUUUAAUGUUUUUUUAUUAUAUUAUGUUAGUCACCAUACAGUACACCCCCGGUUUCCGAUGUAAAGUUCGAUGAUUCAUUAGUUGCGUAUAACACCCAGUGCACCAUGCAAUACGUGCCCUCCUUACUACCCAUCACCAGCCUAUCCCAUUCCCCCACCCCCAUCCCCUCUGAAGUCCUCAGUUUGUUUCUCAGAGUCCAUAGUCUCUCAUGCUUCAUUCCCC